This 100-nucleotide transfer RNA is filed under the name Erinaceus europaeus (western European hedgehog). It matches the Rfam family "tRNA". Rfam says of the family: Transfer RNA (tRNA) molecules are approximately 80 nucleotides in length. Their secondary structure includes four short double-helical elements and three loops (D, anti-codon, and T loops). Lineage: Eukaryota; Metazoa; Chordata; Mammalia; Eulipotyphla; Erinaceidae. The record is from Rfam by way of RNAcentral.
GGGAAGGUGGCUCAGGAUAGAGCACAUGACUUGCAUUCAUGUUGCGCUAAAUUCUGUUCUUGGCACCACAUAUAAUGGUGUCGUGUUCUAGUCUUUCACA